GUGUGUGUGUCAGUGAAUGCGCAUCAUAAGCCAUGGGAAGUAUCCAGUGCGCUGCAUGCCGAAGGUACUGAUGAAGAGGUUGAGGACUGUGGUGAUGAAGACUAUGAUGCUUGUCACAUUGUUCAGAAGUGGAGUCGAGCCAGUAGCCAGCGGAAGAAGCCAGUCCUCUUGGAUCCGAAGAAGCUGACGAAGAAGUUAACCACCGUGGUGACGAAGAUAACGCCUGUAGCCAAGUUGUUCAGUUUUCUCUAGUUUCUUUAUUAGAAUCAUUCCCUACGUCAGAAAGUCAGAAAUGCAUCCUGGCAAAGAGGCCGGUGCGCUCCAUCCCG
This is a long non-coding RNA of Thunnus maccoyii (southern bluefin tuna), 329 nucleotides long. RefSeq lists it as uncharacterized. The transcript is spliced from 3 exons. The record is from RefSeq and is a predicted model, not a curated record. NCBI's taxonomy places the organism in Eukaryota, Metazoa, Chordata, Actinopteri, Scombriformes, Scombridae.